GACGAACGCUGGCGGCGUGCCUAAUGCAUGCAAGUCGACGCACCUCCUUUGGGGGGUGCGUGGCGCACGGCUGAGUAACACGUGGGGAUGCACCCGUGCGUGGGGGAUAGCGCGGCGAAAGCCGCGGGAAUCCCGCAUACCCUCCCCCUCAAGGGAGGAAAGCGCAUACGCGCGCGCACGGUCCACCCUGCGGCCCAUCAGGUUGUUGGCGGGGUCACGGCCCACCAAGCCACUGACGGGUAGCUGGUCUGUGAGGACGACCAGCCAGACUGGGACU
This 277-nucleotide ribosomal RNA is filed under the name uncultured bacterium. RNAcentral describes it as "partial 16S ribosomal RNA". It matches the Rfam family "Bacterial small subunit ribosomal RNA", at positions 28 to 320 of the family's 1533-position model. The record is from RNAcentral.